UACGUAGGGUGCAGGCGUUAAUCGGAAUUACUGGGCGUAAAGCGUGCGCAGGCGGUUUCUUAAGUCAGACGUGAAAUCCCCAGGCUUAACUUGGGAACUGCGUCUGAUACUGGAAGGCUUGAGUGCGGGAGAGGGAUGUGGAAUUCCAGGUGUAGCGGUGAAAUGCGUAGAUAUCUGGAGGAACACCGGUGGCGAAGGCGGCAUCCUGGACCGACACUGACGCUGAGGCGCGAAAGCUAGGGGAGCAAACGGG
This 253-nucleotide ribosomal RNA is filed under the name uncultured bacterium. Its description in RNAcentral is "partial 16S ribosomal RNA". It matches the Rfam family "Bacterial small subunit ribosomal RNA", at positions 524 to 776 of the family's 1533-position model. The record is from RNAcentral.